UUAUCGUUCCUGAAUAGGUGGCGCCGUGGUAGCCGAUCCUGUUCUUAAACUUCCGGUUUCUGCACUGUGCAUACUAACUAUUACAGUUGAAUUUUUAAUUAACGAUGCCAAGUACUUGUUGUUGUGUACCUGGAUGUCAUUUAAGAGGAGGACAUGCAUUUCCAAAUGACUUAAAAAGAAGGAAAAGUUGGAUCAAUGCCAUGGCCCAUACGCAGAUUGGACGAGAACACGAUGAAAUCGUGGAGUCCAUCUCAAUCAGCUGUUGUUUGCAAGCCACAUUUUACUGAAAAAGACUACGUGCAGGAAACUAUUCAUGGGCGCAAACCCACCAUACAGAGACUUAAGUCUACUGCCAUUCCCAGCCUAUUUUCCUGGACCAAGCAAGAGACUGAAUCGUCCGCAAAAGGAAAAAUCAGGGCAGUUUCCUGUGAAAACAAAAGAACUAAGCUUGAUGAAUAUUGUAGUAGAAAUCUAGAGGAAAGUUUUGAUUGUAAAGUUGGUUUUCCUGAAGAAGUCAUUCAUACUGCAGACAGGAUUUAUGACUGUCCACCACCAACUGCCGAGCUAAUGUUGAGCUUCACAGAUGGAAUUACGCAAUGCCUAUAUUUUCAGCAGAGAAUUUUGAAAUGAAGACACGUGACACAGCCUUGCAUUUUUAUACCGGUUUAGAGUUGUAUACUAAAUUUUUAUUUGUUUUGACCACACUUGGUCCAGCAGCACAUUGUUUGAGAUGCAUAUAUUUUCAAAUUGAUAGGGUGUCAUUUGAAAAUCAGUUUUUUUAUGACUUUGAUGAAAUUGAGGCAUUAUACAACCAACUUUGAACUGUCUAGAUUCUAGAUUGAAACUAGUGUUAAGAAUAUUGUGUAAACAUGGAUUGUUUUUAUGUCUAAACAGUGGCGUGAGGCUAUUAACACUUGGCCAUUUAGUGGUUUAGUCAGGUAUUUUUCACCAUCCAACUUCAAAUUAAAGUUUCCUACAACUUAGAUUAUUAUUGACAGCACAGAAUAUCCCGUGAUAAAACCUAAAGCUCCUAGAGCUCAGGCAACCUUUUCAUCAUAUAAAAACAGAAACACUGAAAAUACUUGUAUUUUCGACACCUGGUGGUUUAGUCAACUAUGUCUCUAAUGCAUAUGUUGGUUGUACCAGUGACUGUGAAAUAGUUGAAAGAUGUAGAAUAGUUCAAUUAUGUGAUCCAGGUGACAGUGUGAUGGCAGACAAAGGUUUAAAUGUGCAAGAUUUGUUUGCUCACUUUUUUCAAAAAAAGAAACAGAAUUAGUUCCAAAACUCUUAUACGGGAUAGAAAAGUCUCCAAUUAACACGUGCACAUAGAGCUAAUUAUUGGACUUGGCAAAACAUACAAAAUUCUAAUAAAUCCUAUGAAUGGAACUGAAACAAAACUUUCAUCUGAAAUAACAUUUAGUUGUUUUAUGUUGUGUAAUUUUAGCAUGUUUAGAACUUGUAUUGUACCAAAGGAUGCAUAAAUAAAAGUGACGCAAUGAA
This is a long non-coding RNA of Mytilus californianus (California mussel), 1500 nucleotides long. RefSeq lists it as uncharacterized. Lineage: Eukaryota; Metazoa; Mollusca; Bivalvia; Mytilida; Mytilidae. The record is from RefSeq and is a predicted model, not a curated record. The transcript has 2 exons.